Molecule: ribosomal RNA, 253 nt
Filed under: uncultured bacterium
Lineage: Bacteria
Description: partial 16S ribosomal RNA
Rfam family: Bacterial small subunit ribosomal RNA
Source: RNAcentral
UACGUAGGGGGCAAGCGUUGUCCGGAAUCAUUGGGCGUAAAGAGCGUGUAGGCGGCUCGGUAAGUCCGCUGUGAAAGUCCAGGGCUCAACCCUGGAAUGCCGGUGGAAACUGUCGAGCUAGAGUCCGGAAGAGGCGAGUGGAAUUCCUGGUGUAGCGGUGAAAUGCGCAGAUAUCAGGAGGAACACCAAUGGCGAAGGCAGCUCGCUGGGACGGUACUGACGCUGAGACGCGAAAGCGUGGGGAGCAAACGGG